GAGUCUGAUCCUGGCUCAGAACGAACGCUGGCGGCAGGCCUAACACAUGCAAGUCGAGCGCAUCCUUCGGGGUGAGCGGCGGACGGGUGAGUAACGCGUGGGAACGUGCCCCUUUCUACGGAAUAGCCUCGGGAAACUGGGAGUAAUACCGUAUAAGCCCUACGGGGGAAAGAUUUAUCGGGAAGGGAUCGGCCCGCGUUGGAUUAGGUAGUUGGUGGGGUAAUGGCCUACCAAGCCGACGAUCCAUAGCUGGUUUGAGAGGAUGAUCAGCCACACUGGGACUGAUACACGGCCCAGACUCCUACGGGAGGCUGGACCGCGGAAUCUUACACAAUGGGCGCAAGCCUGAUCUACCCAUGCCGCGUGAGCGAUGAAGGCCUUAUGCUUGUCCAGCUCUUUAGUGUGGAACAUUAUGGCUGUCCU
This 423-nucleotide ribosomal RNA is filed under the name uncultured microorganism. Its description in RNAcentral is "bacterial SSU rRNA". It matches the Rfam family "Bacterial small subunit ribosomal RNA", at positions 9 to 461 of the family's 1533-position model. The record is from RNAcentral.